RNAcentral lists this ribosomal RNA (490 nucleotides) under uncultured bacterium. Its description in RNAcentral is "partial 16S ribosomal RNA". It matches the Rfam family "Bacterial small subunit ribosomal RNA", at positions 29 to 507 of the family's 1533-position model. The record is from RNAcentral.
AAUGAACGCUGGCGGCAUGCCUUACACAUGCAAGUCGAACGGCAGCAUGACCUAGCUUGCUAGGUUGAUGGCGAGUGGCGAACGGGUGAGUAAUGCAUCGGAACGUGCCUUUUAGUGGGGGAUAACGUAGCGAAAGUUACGCUAAUACCGCAUAUUCUCUGAGGAGGAAAGCAGGGGGCCUUCGGGCCUUGCGCUAGAAGAGCGGCGGAUGUCGGAUUAGCUAGUUGGUGAGGUACAGGCUCACUAAGGCAACGAUCCGUAGCGGGUCUGAGAGGAUGAUCCGCCACACUGGGACUGAGACACGGCCCAGACUCCUACGGGAGGCAGCAGUGGGGAAUUUUGGACAAUGGGCGCAAGCCUGAUCCAGCCAUGCCGCGUGAGUGAAGAAGGCCUUCGGGUUGUAAAGCUCUUUCGGCUGGGAAGAAAUCGCACUCUCUAAUACAGGGUGUGGAUGACGGUACCAGCAUAAGAAGCACCGGCUAACUACGUG